RNAcentral lists this non-coding RNA (21 nucleotides) under Caenorhabditis elegans. The record is from RNAcentral. Lineage: Eukaryota; Metazoa; Nematoda; Chromadorea; Rhabditida; Rhabditidae.
UCAGAGUAGAUCUUCUGGUAA